Molecule: transfer RNA, 66 nt
Filed under: Hymenopenaeus neptunus
Lineage: Eukaryota; Metazoa; Arthropoda; Malacostraca; Decapoda; Solenoceridae
Description: tRNA-Asn
Source: RNAcentral
UUGGUUAAAGCCAAAAAGAGGCAUAUCACUGUUAAUGAUAGAAAUGAAGAUACUCUUCUAACCAAG